Molecule: long non-coding RNA, 7741 nt
Filed under: Citrus maxima (pomelo)
Lineage: Eukaryota; Viridiplantae; Streptophyta; Magnoliopsida; Sapindales; Rutaceae
Description: long non-coding RNA (CMAX_LNC001137)
Source: RNAcentral
UAUCUCCCGUAUCACAUCCAAACCCCUAAUCUCAUCAUAUUUGGAGCCUCCUGGCAAAAUGCCAGAGCCACCAUAAUUCUCCAGCAAGGAACCCAAAGUACUCCGGCAAGCUAAAUAUAAAGUGUCCUCGGGGGUAAACUUCCUAAGCAGUUUACAAAACUCUAAGACGAUGGGGGCGGACUGAGCAUGCAAGUGCUUAGGUAAAGCGUUUUUAGUGGAGUUCAAAAAAUGUCUAAUUGAACUAUCAGCGCAAUCUUUGUUACCAUGGAGAGGAGAAAUGUAGAGCAUUACCAAAGCAGCGGGAGCGGAUGAUGACAUGAGAAUUUGGAUGUGAUCAAGUGCAGAUUCAGAUUCAACUUCAUCUUUAGGAGUCAUGGUAAAAAACUCAGUCAUUCUAGAUUUGAUGUGUUUUAAAGAAUGAGGUAGCGUUUCACCUUUGCAUAAGCGGCAAAUAAGGGAAACCAUGUCGUCAAUGACUUGCCAGGCUUGAGGAUGUCCCGUGCUUCGCAUGCGGCCAACCAGUUGCAGGCCGGCGUCGUUUUGGAUGCAACACUCAGCUAAGGACUGUUCCCACUGUAACUGCUUCCCCCGGUAAAUUAACCGUUGCUCGAUCAACGGUAUCCCCGUCAUCGCUUGGAUUCUUUCAUGGAUUGAUUUGACGGUGUCGUUCGAGUCGGCUUGGAUGACCAUCGUCUUCCCCUCAGACAUCAUGCGUAUAAAAAACUGGAGCCUUGGCCGAGGAGGAGGAGGAGCAGCGGCAGCGGCAGGAGGAGUAAUUUCUGAGAGUACGGCGUCGUUUUUUGUCAUCAAGUCUGACGACUGGUGGUGGUGGACGGCGUCAGGUUCGUCUUUCCGCAUUCUUACAGAAACAAGGUCGGAUGUUUCUGCGCCGUCGUCAUCGUCGCCGUCUAAGUUAGGGGCAAAAUCGUCCAACUUACGUUUCGGACGCGAGUGAACGGAGAAGUGAGAGUGAUCAAACGAUUCAACAGGAGACAUUGAAGAGUGGGGCCCCCGCCGCUUACGGUGGGGGUAAGAGCAUGUGAUCGUUAAAUGCCGCGGCAGCAGCUGAAGGAGAAGAUAACUAUUAAAUUGAAAACUCCAAAAAUAGAAAUUAGAAAAACAAGAACCCUAGCAGCUAAUAAGUAGUAAAGCAGUUUUCAUUUUUAUUUUUUCUUUUUUUUGGCUCGGUCAGUGAGUCUGUAUCAGUCUUUGUUUAUAUAGUAAAUUUGAGGGAAAAAAAAAGGAAAAAGAAAAUAGAUGGUAUUAUGAUUUGUUUGUUCUUGAUGAACACGAAGAGCGAUUGGGAGUGAAAUUGAUGAGAAUUUUUAGCUGUGAGACUUACACAUACCCCUUCACAACACCACAGCCGUCACCACCGAACACUGGCAUCUUACGCUAUUAUAAUUAUUUUAUUCCAAUUUUUAUAACUAAAUUAAACCCAAAAAAAAUAAAAAAAUAAAAAGUUUACAGCCCUCAGCCCUGCUUCUGUGUGUGCGCGCUCACAUCACAUGAGAUUCUCGUGACACUCCCACGCCAUGCAUUUUAACCACGUGUUUGAAAUCGCUUUUAUGGGGAAAAGAUUUUAUGGGAGAUUCCUUCUUUAUUAGCCGGAUCAUCAAUCGAUUUCAAUUAAACAAACAUUCUAAACCUGCUCCUUAAGUUUUCUUAAUUAAAGGAUGAGCGCUUAACUUCUAUUGAUUUUAUUAUUUUAGAAUAAAUUACUACCUUUUUUUUGAAUGAAUUUUAUAUUUUUAAGGCUAUAAGUCUAGUGUGACUCUUAAUUUAUUUUUAUUUUUUCUCUCUACAUGCAAACGGAAAAAAAAAAAAAAAAAACUGUAAUCUGUUACGGUUUUGAAGUAAAAUAUAAUAUGUUCAUAGUUGAAAUGUUCAAACCAUGAGGAAACUAAUGUCAAUAUCUUUCAUCUUCUAUGGAGUACUUUAUCAUAUGGUCUCGGAAUGAGUCCUAAAGGAAUUUAUAUUUGUAAAUUCUUUUUAUUUUUUGUAGCAAUCGAAUUAUUUUGGAUGUUAUCCGAUAGUGUGAAAAGGAUUAUCGUGUGACAUGAGAUCGACAGCUUUGCAAGUCAACUCACAACUCACAAACAAUUGGCCAAUUUCGAUUUGGAAACUUACUAUUCUAGUUCCCAAAUUGAGUCAUGAUGAUGGCUAUAUAUUAAUACGAUCAUCGAUCGAUGUUGAUAAAAUCUUGAUUGAUGAUUUCGGCCCCGUAAUUUAUACAGCUGAGUCAGUCAACUGACAAUGAAUGAAAUUGUCGAUGGAUGAUUGACGACCCCUAUAUUAUAUGCAUUGCUUUUAAUUUUUAUGUAUGGGAAAAUCCAAAUCCAACCACGCUCGUGACGCGUGCCGCGUGCGAAUAUUUCGGUUCAUUUUCCGUAAAUAUCCGCCGACUUUUGUACAUAUACAUAGUAGUAAUUAAUAAAGGUGGGAGAAAAUUACGAUUAAAACUUUUAAUCGGUUGUUUACACCACGGAUCGAUUAGAUUAAUUAAUUGGAUUUUUCAGAUAUGCGAUUUAUAUUAAUACUUGCUUAUCCGUCCAGUUGGUUUUCGGUGAGUGACUAUCCUUCAUUGACAUUCCAUUCCAUUCCAUGUAAGUACUCAAAACAACAAACAAAACUGUCAAUUUUUGAAUAGAGGAGACAAAUGGGCCGGUAUGUGAUUAGCUCGGCCCUUAUCUGGGGCCCUACGUACUUAGGCCCGCAACCUAAGAAUUUAAAACACAAGGAGAAGAUGAAGCAGAAGAUGGCGGCUUUUCAUUUCAGUUGUGAUUUUCUGAGAGUGGUAUUUAAGCAGCACUACAGUGAAUCAUUGAUGGCGAAAUUGGAGCGGCGUCACUCACCAAGAUAUAACGGUAUAUAAAGCCAAUAUAUAUAUAUAUAUAUAUAGAUCAUCAUCAUCGUUAUUUGUGCUUUGUUUAUUAUUAUCAACAGAAACAAACAACUGUAAAAAUUUAAUUCAAAAACUUAAAUUUACUAGCUAUAUUACUUACUAAGUAGCAACGACGGGAGAAUAUUAUUACGGUGAAACCAAGCUUUCAACAAAGGUGGUAACAGAAAACCAUCUUGGGGCUCUUUGGAUUUUGAAAUCCGUAGCAAUCUCAUUCUCAAAAUCAUACAAAAUCAACUCACCAUCCCCCUUCUCAAUGAGUAGAAAAUUCUUGCCAUUGCCAUUACUCAAAUUAAUCAUCUCACAGACAGGCUUCAAGUGCACAAAAGCAUAAUUAUCAAAAUUAAUCAAAGCUCGACGUCCGAUCACAAACAUCCUCGUCCAAGACUCCCUCGCACCAAAAUCCUUCAUCGUCCAAAUCUCAACUCUAUCCUCUCUCCACAUAUGAAACAUGGCAAAUUCUCCGCGAAACACACCCACUUCAAUCUGACACUUGUCAUGAGAAUCCUUGUAUUCCGGGCGGUGAAUCUCCUUGAACUCUUCUCUGUUCAUGUCAAAAGCAACAACGAGAACAGUCAUCCCUCUUCCGAGCCCUCGCGACGCUUUCCAUAUAAGACAUUCAUUGAAGCACACCGCAGCUCGAGAGCUGAUAUGAUAUGGGAUGCCUCCAUUAAUCUUCUUCCAUUUAUCGCUAGCCAGAGAAUAAACCCUAGCUUCGCAUUCAUAGGAGUCGAUGUCAACAAAAGGCUUGUCAUAAAGGUAUAUGGAUCUUAUCACCUUGUAAUCAUCCUCUGCUUGAUGGUAACCAAACCCCAAUGAAGUGAAACAUGUAGUUUCGAUUGUGGGAACAUCAAAUUCUGGCACUGGAAGCUUUUUGUAGUUUUUUGUUGAGGGAUUGAAAAGAAAUAUAUCUUCAUUGCAGCUUUGAUCGGAGAUGCAAAGCAGGCCAUUGCAAGAACCUGAAAUCUCAACUUUUUCGAGAGACAAGGCGAAGGGUACUUGGAGUUUUCGAGCUCUGAUUAAUUUUUUAUCAUUGAUUAUCUCGACACCAAAAAGCUUGAAUUCAUUCUUCAGGAUGAGUUUUGGGUCGGACUGAUGAAUUGCUCUGUUGACAUGUUUCUUAAUGAAUAUUUUAUUGUGAACAAGUGCAUACAUGGAUUUUGACACACAUUUGAAUCGAAUAAGAGACUUGACGGGGAGUCUAGUGAAGAUAUCGGUGAUUAUAUCGGUAGGUAAAUUAGCUGAGACAUGAGGGAAAGUUGAAAGAUUGGUGGUUAUAGCACUCGACAGGCUACCCAUUUCGGCGUUUCUUUAAUUUUGCUGAGCCAUUUCUCAUCGGAAACUAUAUACAUAUAUACAGGCAAUUAGAGUUUUGGGCUGUACAAUACUAAUGAGAUAUGUACAGGUGGCUUUUGGUGUAUAUUUAAUUGAAAAUCUGGGAUAUAUGAAGUGAAAUGAAGAAUAUCUAGAAAGAUUUGGUUACGGUGAAUCCAAGAUUUAAAGUCAUUAAUGAGGAUAGUGACAGUUAUCCACUAGAAAGCAAUGAUUGGGAGUCCCUCCUUUCCACACCCUUUUAAGUUUUACCAUUUUAACAACCUUUUUUUGUUUACUUAGUCAGUUUUACAAAUCUUGAUUUUAAUGAUAACCAAUAAUGUGGUAAGGAUAAUAUGGAAAAAUCACUUUUGAAACUCAUUAGUUAUUGAAAAUAAAAAAAUCAUUCAAUUGAGAUCAAGCGCAAAGAACUUACAGACAUAUUCAUCAAAUGUGAAAAAUAUUAGCUUAAAUAAUGUUUCAUUUUUAUAAUCCUCGAAAAGUUAGUUUGUUGGAUUUAUUCAUGGUCAUGCAUUUGAAAGCUCAAACUUAUUAUGAUCAUGACAUUCAAAUUAAUAUUUAAUCAUGGUCAUACUUCCUCCCAUUUCCUAGCUUCUAUGGAUUACUACAACUAUAGCACCAGCAAAGACUUGGUAAAAAAUAAAGACCAUAAUUUUUUUAACAAAUCAAGACAACAGAGUUUUCACCAGUGUCAUCACAAACAUCCUAGUCGAAGCCUUCUCAUUUUCCUAUCAUAUCUCUAACCAAAUAAGGGAUACUAAUAUCAGUAGUAAUUCUGCCUCACGAGUCAACAAUUUACAUCAAACACAUUGGAUUGAAUUUUUAUUACAAAAACCCUUCAAGACACCAAUAUAUGACUUUCUACACCCUUUACUAAAACAUGACUACCACCCAUCACCAAGUGAAAUAAGUAAAAAGUACUGCAUCAUCGGCCAUAAACAUUUUCUUUUACAUGCACAUGUACAGAGAUGUUAAUCUGUAGCCAUGCCAACUAUAGAGAACCAAUUUAGUAAUAAUUCUGAUUUCUUCAAUUGACUAUAUACACAAAACAUGUUGGAUUGACUUAAUAUAACACUACCAGCCUCGAGGUUUGAUCUAAUGAGACGUACCCUCUGUUAACAACACAUUCUAAAGUUUCUAGUAGCUGAUACAGAGAUUCAAAUUUACCCUCACUCUUCAAAACCCUGAUCACCCUUCCCUCCUCACCUCUAUUCUAAUCUGUGCUGCCCCCAUAAUUUUUGUUCACCAUCCAUCUUUACCACAACAUCUAUAAUCAGAGUCUACAUUAAUCGUAACAAUUAGUUCGGUCAAGCCUAUUAAUCACAACAGCGAUUACCCACCGUGCCCCUUCCACCAUUACCCACUGUCAGAUCUCCAUUAACAAGCCCCCCUUCCACCACCUUCGCCCUUCUUCCCUACCCCCAACUUAUUUCACUCCCAAAAAAGAAGAUAAAGAAGAAGAAGAAGAAAAUAGAAAAAUACCAAUAUUUUUUACUCUUAUCCUCUCUAAUCUUGUAACCCACAGCACGAUUAAUACUUAAUUAAAAUUGGUGGCCAUGGCUAACUUAGUUGAUGCUGAUUGAUAUGAAGAGAGAGAUAACUAGUUAUGAACAUGAUCAAAGAGUUCCAUGAUUUAAGGUCCAAUUAAGAUAAUGGGGGCAAUGAGGUUGCUUCGGUGAUGCGGUGACAUGUCAUUCUAAAUGAUGAGAUAUUUAUCAAAACCUUAGAAAGGAAAAGAAAAAGAAUUCUGCACACAGAUAAAGGUUGAAAAAUUCUAUUAGCGGCCACGUGGCAGCACAGAGCUGUUAAAAAAUAAUAAUAACAAUAACAAUAAUAUUUCAGAGGGGUAUUUGAUUAUGAUGUCAUGAGUUUCUGCUGCCUCACAAAUGGCCAAUUAACAGUAAGGGGCAACUUAUAAGCCUCUUAAAAAAAGGGCAACUUAUAAGAAUCUUAAAGUCAGAGUUAAGUGCAAUUUCUAGAACAUAGGGCACUAUGAGUAACUAGGAUGAAAUAUCAGCCAAAGAGCUAUAUAUGUAAAAUCACAGCAGGAGCGCUGUGUAAAACUACCCAACAUAUGCACGCAUACUGACCCAAACCAUCCUACCUAGUAUAUCAACAUGUCUUCAACCAUGUCAUUUAUUAUGUUGUCGUAUCUAUUAGAGUUUAAAACUAUUUGCCAAAUAAAUAAUAGUCCAGAUUCAAUGUGCAUAUAAUAUUCAAAUAUCCAUACAGGUUACAAUGCAGAAUAGGGUAACUAUAAGUCCGGAAAAGGGCAAACAGACAACAUUAAUGGAACCCAGUUAAAAAAUGCAUGCAUCAAAAGCCAGCGGAAACUUACCAUGAUUAGGAUAGAACCUUCUACGGUCAUUAGGGCAUGGCACAAAAAGAGCAUUUUGUGGAUUAAAUAAAGCUUGGCAUACCAAGAAAAACCAUUCCCUUAAAACACCGGGACCAGUAGCUUCCUCAUUUUUGAAUUCCAUAAAUAAACCACCACGCAGUGCCUCUGGUUCCGCACGUGCUAUUUACUCAAAUGAUUCUGCCAACAACUGAGACCUAUCAAUAAGCAUCUCAUGCAGCUCCUCAUAGUCUUCCUUUACAUCGGGAAACAUCAUCAUGACCAGAUACUUCCUGGAAUCAAAAGUAGUCACGCCCUUAUGCUCAAGAAGCCACCUAUUAUCAUCACUUCUCCUUGCAUAUCUAAGAAUCAGAUCACCCAAUGGCGAUAUUCUAUUCCUCAGAAGUUUCCAGAACUCUUCUUCAGCGCCCUGAAAGAGUUUAGAUGUGGCAUGUAAUUCUCUCAAAAUUGUCAGAUACUGCGACCAUCCAGAAUAAUUAAUUUCACCUUCCCCAUUUGCUCUCGCAAUCACGCGUUCCUGCACUCUAACGAGGCAUUUAUCCAUUUUUAUCAACAAAUCACAGAACAUUCCAUAAAUAGAAUCCAGCUGAUCCCCAUGCAACCGAUCAUGUUCCUGCUGCGGCAAAGGAAUUGUAAUCGGAAUGGAAAACCCCACUUGACCCAAAAUCGCCCUGCGGAGAGGGUGCAAGAACGCGGUAAAAUCACGAACAUCACUGACCAAUGGCCCCACGCUCAGCACCAUCUCCAUACUGGAAUUCAAAUCCCUAGAUAUCCUAGCAGCCAACUCACGAACAAAAGGAAAUAUCUCCCGUAUCACAUCCAAACCCCUAAUCUCAUCAUAUUUGGAGCCUCCUGGCAAAAUGCCAGAGCCACCAUAAUUCUCCAGCAAGGAACCCAAAGUACUCCGGCAAGCUAAAUAUAAAGUGUCCUCGGGGGUAAACUUCCUAAGCAGUUUACAAAACUCUAAGACGAUGGGGGCGGACUGAGCAUGCAAGUGCUUAGGUAAAGCGUUUUUAGUGGAGUUCAAAAAAUGUCUAAUUGAACUAUCAGCGCAAUCUUUGUUACCAUGGAGAGGAGAAAUGUAGAGCAUUACCAAAGCAGCGGGAGCGGAUGAUGACAUGAGAAUUUGGAUGUGAUCAAGUGCAGAUUCA